Molecule: ribosomal RNA, 63 nt
Filed under: uncultured bacterium
Lineage: Bacteria
Description: partial 16S ribosomal RNA
Source: RNAcentral
UAGGCUUGACAUCCCGAUCGUACUCUAUGGAAAAAUAGAGGUCAUCUUGGCUGGAUCGGUGAC